AGACGAGAAGACCCUAUGGAGCUUUAGACACCAAGGCGGCCCACAUUAAACACCCCCGAAUAAGGGACUAAACCAAGUGAACACCGCCCUAAUGUCUUUGGUUGGGGCGACCGCGGGGAAUUACAAAACCCCCACGUGGAAUGGGGGCACCCCUCCUACAGCUAAGAGCUACAGCUCUAGUAAACAGAAAUUCUGACCAAUAAGAUCCGGCAAUGCCGAUCAACGGACCGAGUUACCCUAGGGAUAACAGCG
Molecule: ribosomal RNA, 252 nt
Filed under: Pleurogrammus monopterygius (Atka mackerel)
Lineage: Eukaryota; Metazoa; Chordata; Actinopteri; Perciformes; Hexagrammidae
Description: partial 16S ribosomal RNA
Source: RNAcentral